AUGCCAUCUUCCUUCGAUCAAGGGCAAAUCGUGCUUUUCCAGUGGCCCAGCCGCAUCAGUCGUGCCCACGUGAGCUACCGGCAGCUUCUUGAAGUAGAAGAGAUGAUGCUGCUAACUUGGUGGACAUGGGCAGGAAAGGCGACCAGAACGAGCAUGAGUACAUGCCCUCAUUGUAAGGUCAUUAUCUGUUCAGCCGCGUCUACUCCUCCACCGCUCCCUGCCCGCGGCCCGCCCCGCAAGAAGCCCCGCAGCUCUGCGUCCGCCGCCGCGGGCGGCAAGCCUCCCGUGAUCGUCUACUACUGCCGUCGCCGCAAGAAGUCGCGGCUCGAGGAGCCACGGCCGUCCUCGCUGGCGUCGCGGCAGCUGGAGGAGGAGGCGCUGGGCAGGGGCUCGUGGCGGAAGCGCCCGCUCACGAGCUGCUCAGCCUGGGCCGAGGCGCAGAGGGGGAGUGCAGAAGGAGAGCGCCGCUUCGAUCCAUCCUUCCCUGCCCUGAAGAUCCAGUCUCAGCUAAUGGCUGCGCUGCUCCCGCCCCACGACGAAGUCUGCGUCAAAAUUGAAGAAGACGGCUUGGGGGCCAUAGUCCCUGUGGAUUUGUUCAUCAAUUCGUUCCCAUUGGUGGAAGUUGACGGGUUCGAGGUGGCGCCCUGGUCAACAGGAAACGCGCACAACGCCACCAUAGCCGAGUUAUUCGUUUUUAUAUUUGCCUACAAGAUGUUCCAUGAAAAUCACAGAAGCACCGGCUGCACCGCACCGGGUUUAGGCUCGUCAAGAAGGUGGCUGGAAGAUAGUGUGUGCAAGGUUUUCUGGCCCAAAGAUGAUGAUUGGUACAAGGGUUCCAUCACGGCCUACACGGAACUAACCAAGAAUUCUGGAUACGAUGAGCUACUUGCACUUGCUGUCAGCUUUCAUGACUACCAAGGUCUUGAUCCAGAUAAUAUAGUGUGGGCUAAAAUAACAGGUCAUGCAAUGUGGCCAGUUGUUAUAGUGGACGAGUCAAAUGUUCAUGCUAGCCGGGCCCUGAAGUCAAUUCGGUUUGAUCAAUCAAUACUUGUUCAAUUCUUUGGCACCCAUGAUUUUGCAAGGUUUCUCCUCACACAAAAGCUUCCAGAAAAUAUGUUGCAACUUCGGAAAUCCAUUGAAAAUGAUGGUUCUGAUGAUAAUGGCCAAGAUGACACGAUAGGCUCUUGUAAUAAUUUAUCAGAAGAAAAUGGAGAGGAUGCUGAAAUGACUCAGAUAGAACUAGGAAAUCUUCGUGUGAGCAACCUAGUGUAUAACAAACCUGAUUGUGCGAGUUUCUUUCCUGGCAGGAUAGUAUCUGAUUCAGACCAUUUCCAUAACAAAAUGCACAUAUGGCCUGAAGGGUAUACUGCUUUCAGGAAGUUCGCAUCGGUAAAAGUUUACUCUCAUGAGUGGGUUUGUGCUGCUGUUACUGCAGUCCCUUGUCCCGAUGGAAGACUUGGCUUCUUCACUGAAGCUGGGGAAUUUCGGGCUUUGUUUGAUGGCGUUGCUCCUCUUCCGAGGAAGAUACAUUUAGAGGAGACUCGGGAAGACAUGAAAGCUGCGGCCAAAUUGCAAUGGUAA
This 1581-nucleotide ribosomal RNA is filed under the name Triticum aestivum (bread wheat). RNAcentral's name for it is "partial small subunit ribosomal RNA". The record is from RNAcentral. Lineage: Eukaryota; Viridiplantae; Streptophyta; Magnoliopsida; Poales; Poaceae.